Molecule: ribosomal RNA, 130 nt
Filed under: Aspergillus sclerotiorum
Lineage: Eukaryota; Fungi; Ascomycota; Eurotiomycetes; Eurotiales; Aspergillaceae
Description: partial 28S ribosomal RNA
Rfam family: Eukaryotic large subunit ribosomal RNA
Source: RNAcentral
UUGACCUCGGAUCAGGUAGGGAUACCCGCUGAACUUAAGCAUAUCAAUAAGCGGAGGAAAAGAAACCAACCGGGAUUGCCUCAGUAACGGCGAGUGAAGCGGCAAGAGCUCAAAUUUGAAAUCUGGCCCC